CUCACUACACAGACAUGGAAAACAAUCUUACCUAAAUGUGUGGAAGCUCAUUUAUUUGAGUACAUUUGCUUCGGUAGUGACUGUAGUGUAUGUUUUCACUAAUGCAUGAAAAGAUACUUCAUGAAGUUCACACUGGAUCAGACUGUCUGAAGGACGCCGAGCGGCUAGAACCACUGAUUCACAAAAGCAGUAUCCAGAUCAUCCAGACAGGUUUGACUCCUGAACUGAGGUCAUGUUUAGAGACAGUGUGAGUGAACGCUGUUACUGGGAGGUGGAGUGGAAAGGGAAGGUUGGGUGUAUCUAUAGCAGUGGCUUAUAAGAGCAUCAGUAGAAAAGGACUCGGUCUGGAGAGUGCAGCCGGACGCAAUGAUCAGUCCUGGAGUCUGUUCUUUUCUCCAAUCUAUUGUUCAUUCAUUCAUUAUAAUUCAGAGAUGAUUGUGUCUGUUCUCCCGAGUUCUUCUAGAGUAGGAGUGUAUGUGGAUCACAGUGCAGGAAUUCUGUCCUUCUACAGCAUCUCAAGCGACACGAUGAAUCUCAUCCACAGAGUUCACACCACAUUCACUCAACCUCUCUAUCCUAUGUUUGAAGUAUACUGUAAGCCCGAACAGUACUACUAGCUUAUAAAGACUGAGGUCACUACAGUUAAAAUCUCUUGCUGAGUUAAUCCACCUUUAAACUAUUAAUGUCUAUGAACAAAUAUGUAUUUUUAUGUUUGUGUGCCUCAGCAUUUUUGACGGAACACCGCUGGUUCACUCACUAUUUUUAAGUGUACCGUUGAUCACGUGAUAUGACGUCAUGACGUGCUGCGCUUACUGACGUUACCAGAAAAAUCUAUCCAAGAUGGCUACCCUCUCGAGCGACCUGGUAUCAAGCAUGAAGCAACUUGUUGUGGAAGAAGUGCAGUGAGCAUCCCCCAAAACCAAGAUCAGUUAUUUUAGGCAGUCAGCAGUGAAUGUAUGGACACAGAAGACUUUGAUCUUUUUUGAAAAACCUACAUUGUCACCAGAGAGCAACUUUAUCUGACCAACUUGGGUUGAUGUAUGCAUUGCAUUUGGACUAUCCCAAGAAACUCAUUCACACUUUUACAUUCUUACAGAAAAUCCUAAUGGGUCUUGAUGAUGGUAUACCACUUAAAUCCUGCCAACUGAGUCUCAAAAAUGACAUGUUAAUGAAAUAGUAGGAUAACUUAAGAGUUGUGUUUACAAGAAAAUACACAUGUCUGCAUGUUGAUGUGUUCUUGGGGUUCCCAGUAUGGUAACUUUAUAGUAUGUUGUUGAACACCAUGGUAGUCAAAGCAUUUGAAACUGUUUACAUUUGACAGAUUAUGUCUUGCCCACCAAAUCUAACGUAGUUGCUGUUGUUUAUACUUAUUGGUUGUACACCAACUUGAUGCUCUGAAUCCUAAAAUGAUGUGAGAUGUGCAUUUUCAUAUUUUGUUUUUAUAGGUUUUUACAAUCAGGAAAGAUUAUAUGUCUUGACUUUGUGUUUUGAUAAGUUUAUUUAUUUACUUUUUAUUUUUAUUUUUUUAAUUCCAUUUGCACUUUGAUGGUCAUGGCUGUUACUAAUGCUGCUUUAAGAAAGUUUUGUAUUAAGCACUUGAAGAUGCUCAGUUCCUGAUUGUCUUGUUCCUGUUUGAUAUGUAGAGAUACAUAUGUACACACACACACACACACACAAACACAAACGCACAACCAUACACUACAUGAGUUUAACUAAAUGUUAGUUAUAUUUGUAGCAAGAGCAGAGGUGUUUAAUUUUGCUCUCUAUGUAAGUGUUCAUUCCAACUAAAUACUUCCAGUGAACCAGUGAAACUUAAAUAAAUUUCACUGGUUAACACACCUACAGCUAUUGGGUAGGUGGUGAAACCAGUAUGUGCCUUGAGUCACUUAGCUCAUCAUGGCACAGACGCCUCUGAGCUAGAACAAAGUUUUAUAAAAAUGAAUGCUGUUGAUGUUCUGACAUGUUUGAAUAAA
This is a long non-coding RNA of Triplophysa dalaica, 1973 nucleotides long. RefSeq lists it as uncharacterized. The transcript has 5 exons. The record is from RefSeq and is a predicted model, not a curated record. Lineage: Eukaryota; Metazoa; Chordata; Actinopteri; Cypriniformes; Nemacheilidae.